This 468-nucleotide ribosomal RNA is filed under the name uncultured bacterium. RNAcentral's name for it is "partial 16S ribosomal RNA". It matches the Rfam family "Bacterial small subunit ribosomal RNA", at positions 28 to 507 of the family's 1533-position model. The record is from RNAcentral.
GACGAACGCUGGCGGCGUGCUUAACACAUGCAAGUCGAACGGAAAGGCCCUGCUUUUGUGGGGUGCUCGAGUGGCGAACGGGUGAGUAACACGUGAGUAACCAGCCCUUGACUUUGGGAUAACUUCAGGAAACUGGGGCUAAUACCGGAUAGGAGCUCCUGCUGCAUGGUGGGGGUUGGAAAGUUUCGGCGGUUGGGGAUGGACUCGCGGCUUAUCAGCUUGUUGGUGGGGUAGUGGCUUACCAAGGCUUUGACGGGUAGCCGGCCUGAGAGGGUGACCGGCCACAUUGGGACUGAGAUACGGCCCAGACUCCUACGGGAGGCAGCAGUGGGGAAUAUUGCACAAUGGGCGGAAGCCUGAUGCAGCAACGCCGCGUGCGGGAUGACGGCCUUCGGGUUGUAAACCGCUUUGGCCUGUGACGAAGCGUGAGUGACGGUAAUGGGUAAAGAAGCACCGGCUAACUACGUG